CGUUGUUGGGUAGGGGAGCGUUCUGUAAGCCGUUGAAGGUGGCCUGUGAGGGUUGCUGGAGGUAUCAGAAGUGCGAAUGCUGACAUAAGUAACGAUAAAGCGGGUGAAAAGCCCGCUCGCCGGAAGACCAAGGGUUCCUGUCCAACGUUAAUCGGGGCAGGGUGAGUCGACCCCUAAGGCGAGGCUGAAAAGCGUAGUCGAUGGGAAACAGGUUAAUAUUCCUGUACUUGGUGUUACUGCGAAGGGGGGACGGAGAAGGCUAGGCUAGCCGGGCGACGGUUGUCCCGGUUUAAGCGUGUAGGGGGUGUGACCUGGUAAAUCCGGUUGCAUAUCAACCCUGAGGCGUGAUGACGAUGCACUACGGUGCAGAAGUAGUUGAUGCCCUGCUUCCAGGAAAAGCCUCUAAGCUCCAGGUAACAUUGAAUCGUACCCCAAACCGACACAGGUGGUCAGGUAGAGAAUACCAAGGCGCUUGAGAGAACUCGGGUGAAGGAACUAGGCAAAAUGGUGCCGUAACUUCGGGAGAAGGCACGCUGG
This 537-nucleotide ribosomal RNA is filed under the name Serratia marcescens. Its description in RNAcentral is "partial 23S ribosomal RNA". It matches the Rfam family "Bacterial large subunit ribosomal RNA", at positions 1219 to 1754 of the family's 2925-position model. Lineage: Bacteria; Pseudomonadati; Pseudomonadota; Gammaproteobacteria; Enterobacterales; Yersiniaceae. The record is from RNAcentral.